GCCUCGGUGGUAUAGUGGUACGGUACGCCUUCCCGAAUAGGAUGCAACGCUGGUUCGAUUCCCUCUUGAGGCC
Parelaphostrongylus tenuis is the source of this 73-nucleotide non-coding RNA. The record is from the annotation of a GenBank genome assembly. Lineage: Eukaryota; Metazoa; Nematoda; Chromadorea; Rhabditida; Metastrongylidae.